UCUUGAACUCAGUAAAAUUUAAUAGAAUUGAUAAAACCUCAAUUAUAAGAAUAUUCAGAUAUUAUUUUAACCUACAGAAGGAGCAUGUGGUCAAGACUACAGAAAGUUGAAAUUAUAAUGGUGCAGGAAAUUGGAGAGACAUGAUGAAGAUUACAUCAUUAAAGAGUUUGGAGUAGGAAGCCUCUAAUAUAACACUGAGCUGGAAAAUCAGAAGUAGGAAGAAAGAAAAAGAUGUUUUCUCUUAUCCUGCACACUCACUUUCUACUUCAAAAUGAAAAGG
Molecule: long non-coding RNA, 280 nt
Organism: Symphalangus syndactylus (siamang)
Lineage: Eukaryota; Metazoa; Chordata; Mammalia; Primates; Hylobatidae
Source: RefSeq, a predicted model, not a curated record